GCUCUCUCCUUUCUUUCUUUCAUUUUCUUUCUUUUCAUUUUACUGAAACACACACACACCCAUCCACCAGCCUCCACCCCAAAACACACUAUAUCACCAUCAUUUUUCCGACAAGAUCACUGGAAAAAUACUUAGGAACUCCAAAGCAUCUUCAUUAUUUUAUUUGAGGUUCUAGCUAAAUUCCCCUUGGAGCUUAGAGAAUUAGGAUUUUGCGGUUACGAGAGUAGGCGACAAUCUUUUGAGACAGCUUUUUUGGUGGCUAAUAGUAGUUAGACUAACUACUGAUGGAGGCUGAAUUUUUGUAAUGGAUAUAUUAGAUGGUGUACAUUUUAGACUAGGCUUGACUUAUUCUUUUGUAUAUUAUAGUGGUUAUGACUGUAUUUCCACUGAUGAGACAAGCUGUUGUUAUGUAAUAGUUUUAUUCAGAUCUCUAUUCUUUUGUGGCCUAUGGUCCUUGUAAUUAAUGCUUAGAGCUCUGACUUACUCUGAAA
Quercus robur (English oak) is the source of this 491-nucleotide long non-coding RNA. RefSeq lists it as uncharacterized. NCBI's taxonomy places the organism in Eukaryota, Viridiplantae, Streptophyta, Magnoliopsida, Fagales, Fagaceae. The record is from RefSeq and is a predicted model, not a curated record. The transcript has 3 exons.